Molecule: ribosomal RNA, 460 nt
Filed under: uncultured bacterium
Lineage: Bacteria
Description: partial 16S ribosomal RNA
Rfam family: Bacterial small subunit ribosomal RNA
Source: RNAcentral
CCUACGGGAGGCAGCAGUGAGGAAUAUUGGUCAAUGGGCGGGAGCCUGAACCAGCCAAGUCGCGUGAGGGAAGACGGUCCUAUGGAUUGUAAACCUCUUUAGGCGGGGAGCAAUGCCGGGCACGCGUGCCCGGAGGGAGAGUACCCGCAGAAUAAGCAUCGGCUAACUCCGGGCCAGCAGCCGCGGUAAUACGGAGGAUGCGAGUGUGAUCAGGAUGUAUUGGGUUUAAAGGGUGCGUAGGCGGAUUUUUAAGUCAGCGGUAAAAUGUCCGGGCUCAACCCGGGCCGGCCGUUGAAACUGGGGAUCUUGAGUGGGCGAGAAGUAUGCGGAAUGCGUGGUGUAGCGGUGAAAUGCAUAGAUAUCACGCAGAACUCCGAUUGCGAAGGCAGCAUACCGGCGCCCGACUGACGCUGAGGCACGAAAGCGUGGGGAUCGAACAGGAUUAGAUACCCUUGUAGUC